Molecule: long non-coding RNA, 924 nt
Organism: Glossina fuscipes
Lineage: Eukaryota; Metazoa; Arthropoda; Insecta; Diptera; Glossinidae
Exons: 3
Source: RefSeq, a predicted model, not a curated record
AAAUUGAUGACGCUUUGCGUUAGUAUUGGCUGUUCUGAGUUAGUGUUAAUUGUUUAGAGCUGCAUUUACAAGAAGAAACAGCUAUAAAUUGAAAAUAAAACAAAUUGCGAACCAAAUUGUUUACGUACAUUGUUACGUCAAUUGUUACGUAAAAUCAAUUGUGUCUAAUCAACUGUCCUAUACGUUAUCAUAUACCGUCACUAUCGUUGAUAAAGCAUAAAGGAUCAACAUAGAAUAAAAAUUCAUCACUUACUUUGGUCUUACCGCCAACAGACCUAAUCCAAUUUAGUAAUCAAAACGGAAAAAAAGAACAUCGAAAUUGACUUAAAAGGAAUCUUGUAACACAUAGAAGUGCGCUGCGGGGAGAACUCCUCUUAGGUUACCCAAAAUGUACUUCUGCAAAGGUCUCGCGUGUCAAAACAGGCUUUUGGAGACGUUUUAGGAAACGUUGGUGUGAGUGAUGUUAUAAGAAAAACCUACAUGUCUCCAGUGAUGCAUUUAAUCCUCACUUUGGAGUUGGUGGUGUUUUGAGCCUAUCAACGGCUGGCGGCUAGCCACUUUCGUAAGCGUUGCGACGGUGUCGCCGUUUCGUAGAGACUUUCCAAUUGACGGGAAUAAGUGAGGAAAUAUAAACCGGCAUAGCUUCUGCACUUUCAAAUUUAAUUGUGUUGAACUAAAAGAUAUAAAGAAUAAAUAGGCUUUAGGAUGUUUUGUGAAAAUUAAAGCGUUGGCUUUUGUUUAUGUGAUUCAAAACUAGAUUGAUUCAUUUUAAAACAUUAUACAUUCUUUGUAGGUAAAUUCAAAUAAUAUAUAUUAAAAUUCAAACUUCAAUUUCACAAUUCAAAGGUUUCCUAAGAAAUAAAAAUAUGAAAUUACAUGGUUUAUAUGAAAUUAUUUCACUAAAUUUUAAAUCGUUAAAAAUUU